GUAGGUGAACCUGCGGAAGGAUCAUUAACACGUGACUUUCACGUUUUAACACUCACCGAGAACUGUUGUAUCCCCUGUUGUAGAACAUAGGUGGACUGAGAGUGGAAUGGUGUGAGAUUUAUCUCUUCCUCCCAGACCUACGAUAGUUCGACUAUCAGCCAUUGUCUACAAACAGAAGAUGAAUUGCGGCUGCUUAUUAAGCCUGCACCUUGGCUUGCAGUCCGUGGUGACCUUAUUCACCCCUUUUACU
RNAcentral lists this unclassified non-coding RNA (250 nucleotides) under plant metagenome. RNAcentral describes it as "partial contains small subunit ribosomal RNA, internal transcribed spacer 1, and 5.8S ribosomal RNA". The record is from RNAcentral.